UGGGGAAUUUUCCGCAAUGGGCGAAAGCCUGACGGAGCAAUACCGCGUGAGGGAUGACGGCCUGUGGGUUGUAAACCUCUUUUUUCAAGGAAGAAGCUCUGACGGUACUUGAAGAAUAAGCAUCGGCUAACUCUGUGCCAGCAGCCGCGGUAAUACAGAGGAUGCAAGCGUUAUCCGGAAUUAUUGGGCAUAAAGCGUCUGUAGGUUGCGUACCAAGUCUGCUGUUAAAGCCUAGGGCUUAACCCUAGAAAAGCAGUGGAAACUGUUACGCUUGAGUGUGGUAGAGGUAGAGGGAAUUCCUAGUGUAGCGGUGAAAUGCGUAGAUAUUAGGAAGAACACCAAUGGCGAAAGCACUCUGCUGGGCCAUUACUGACACUGAGAGACGACAGCUAGGGGAGCA
RNAcentral lists this ribosomal RNA (400 nucleotides) under uncultured bacterium. RNAcentral's name for it is "bacterial SSU rRNA". It matches the Rfam family "Bacterial small subunit ribosomal RNA", at positions 355 to 770 of the family's 1533-position model. The record is from RNAcentral.